AAACAACAUAAAAGUUAACUGGCAGAAAGUUCAGCCUGCUGUAAAAACCCGUAAGUGCCCCAUAAUGGCCCAUAUAAGGUUCUCUGCUUCUGCUGGAGUUUGAGCUAACUAGCAUGUUAAUUUAUAGACCAUUUUGCUGCACGAGGCCACUGGGAACUUCUCUGCUCCCACCAAAAACUUCCACAGGAGCAUCACCUUUGACGCAAUGGUGGAGAAGAAAGAGUGGAGCAAGACUUGAGCAGACCACCACUACCCAGGAUAAGCCAACAGCCCUAUUACUACUAACAGUGCAGGGUCUGCAGCACACGGAUGAGCACCUGGAUUCUUUUCUUAAUUGGAAAUGCUUUCAGCUGAAGAGUCAGCACGUAGGUGUGUGUGGUGGUAAAGAGCAUUAGCAUUGCGCUACUCCGGGAGAAGCUCACAGCUGCACUUACUUGGGUUCUGCUCAACGUCUCUUCCAUUUUUAUCGUAUUUGAAAGUAAUGCUGACCGGGAGAUAAAUGAUCAAAGAAUGAAUCCAUUAAAACAUGCUAACUGUAUCUACAUUUAUUCCAUUUUUUAAUAUUUUUAUUAUUUUUGCUGAACUGGUAAUAUCUUAAUUAACUGGGAACAUUUACAAAGCUCUCGGUGGGCUCCGUUUGCCCUAACAGGAAUGCCAUUAGUCAUUUACUGCUCACCAGGGAUGACAUCCAGCCAGCUGAGGCACUGCUCCCCGCUAAGGAGAUCUGACCACGGUGAUUUACAGCCUUUAAUAAUAAAUAAUCUUUUACUACUUCUACUUUUCUUGGC
This 788-nucleotide long non-coding RNA is filed under the name Anser brachyrhynchus (Pink-footed goose). RNAcentral's name for it is "lncRNA (ENSABRG00000008132.1)". The record is from RNAcentral. Lineage: Eukaryota; Metazoa; Chordata; Aves; Anseriformes; Anatidae.